UGGGUUGUAGCUGAGUAGAAGAGCACUUGCCUCACAUGCAUGAGGUCCUGGGUUGGAUCCUCAGCACCACAU
Molecule: transfer RNA, 72 nt
Filed under: Ictidomys tridecemlineatus (thirteen-lined ground squirrel)
Lineage: Eukaryota; Metazoa; Chordata; Mammalia; Rodentia; Sciuridae
Description: Spermophilus tridecemlineatus (thirteen-lined ground squirrel) tRNA
Rfam family: tRNA
About the family: Transfer RNA (tRNA) molecules are approximately 80 nucleotides in length. Their secondary structure includes four short double-helical elements and three loops (D, anti-codon, and T loops).
Source: Rfam by way of RNAcentral